This 464-nucleotide ribosomal RNA is filed under the name uncultured bacterium. RNAcentral's name for it is "bacterial SSU rRNA". It matches the Rfam family "Bacterial small subunit ribosomal RNA", at positions 338 to 795 of the family's 1533-position model. The record is from RNAcentral.
CCUACGGGGGGCUGCAGUGGGGGAUAUUGCACAAUGGAGGAAACUCUGAUGCAGCAACGCCGCGUGAGGGAAGAAGGUCUUCGGAUUGUAAAGCUCUGUUGUUAGGGAAGAACAAGUACGGGAGGAAAUGACCGUACCUUACGGUACCUAACGAGGAAGCCACGGCUAACUACGUGCCAGCAGCCACGGUAAUACGUAGGGAGUAAGCGUUGUCCGGAUUUACUGGGUGUAAAGGGUGCGUAGGCGGCCCUGCAAGUCAGGUGUGAAAACUAUGGGCUUAACUCAUAGAUUGCACUUGAAACUGUGGGGCUUGAGUGAAGUAGAGGCAGGCGGAAUUCCCGGUGUAGCGGUGAAAUGCGUAGAGAUCGGGAAGAACACCAGUGGCGAAGGCGGCCUGCUGGGCUUUAACUGACGCUGAGGCACGAAAGCGUGGGUAGCAAACAGGAUUAGAUACCCCAGUAGUC